This 450-nucleotide ribosomal RNA is filed under the name uncultured bacterium. RNAcentral describes it as "partial 16S ribosomal RNA". It matches the Rfam family "Bacterial small subunit ribosomal RNA", at positions 338 to 795 of the family's 1533-position model. The record is from RNAcentral.
CCUACGGGUGGCUGCAGUGGGGAAUUUUGGACAAUGGGGGCAACCCUGAUCCAGCCAUGCCGCGUGCGGGAAGAAGGCCUUCGGGUUGUAAACCGCUUUUGUCAGGGAAGAAAUCUUCCGAGCUAAUACCUUGGGAGGAUGACGGUACCUGAAGAAUAAGAACCGGCUAACUACGUGCCAGCAGCCGCGGUAAUACGUAGGGUGCAAGCGUUAAUCGGAAUUACUGGGCGUGGUGCGGGAACAGGGGGGUGAAAUCCCCGGGCUUAACCUGGGAACUGCACGUGUGACUGUACGGCUGGAGUACGGCAGAUGGGGAUGGAAUUCCGCGUGUAGCAGUGAAAUGCGUAGAUAUGCGGAGGAACACCGAUGGCGAAGGCAGUCCCCUGGGCCUGUACUGACGCUCAUGCACGAAAGCGUGGGGAGCAAACAGGAUUAGAUACCCGAGUAGUC